GCACUCACUCUUGUCCACGGUCUUGAGGGCGCGCGUGAAGUCUCCAUUCUGGCCGUUACGAUUCACUUCGCUCCAGAGGGCAGCAACCGACGCCCCCCCGCCGCCGCCGCUCGCCAUUUUGGAGGAAACGCGGAGCCUUAGAGUUGUGUGGGAGGAAGAGCUAGUGUGUAUAAAGGGCAAGACUUGAAACCACUUCUUCCUGGCUCCAGGAGCAGCUCACUCUCUUCUGUAGGCGGUUACCUCUUUGGCUUUGAAGAGUAGAGGGAGAGACUGAUCUUGGGCUCUAUUUGUUACAAGGGCAUCAUAAUAGGUGUUUUACCCCUCCUUUCCAACUUGUUCUGGAAACCAGACAUCACCCAAGACUUCUGCUGAGAACCCAGAUUAGAAGUGCGGUCUGGAGGGGAGAGAGAAAUGGAUGCUAUUUUGUACCAGAAGACAUGGCCCUGCAUCUCAUAUAACAUAUAACAAUCGAGAAGAGGUAUUUCUCUGCCCUGUUGAAGAAUAGUAGUUUUAUCUUUCUAAAUUUCUGGGCAUUGGGUCUGGUUACUAAAAAGCCUGGGACAGGAAUUGCUUUCCUUCAUUAAUUCACAGGGAAAACUUUUGUAUAUUUUAAAACACUAAAAGGAGUAUUAUCACUCCACUUAACUAUCCCACUGUUCUGCUACGCUGAUGAUACUUAAACUAAAUAAUGAAUAACUUCUAUUUUGGAAAUGGCUAAAAUCCGUGUUAAAUACCAUGCAGAAUAACGGAAACAUUACAAUUGUUCAUAAUGGGUAGUUUAACUAUUUUUGUACUUGAUUUGAUGUAUGACUUUUCGUAUAACAGUUUAAAUCAUGUAUUUUAUGACAUUGUUUGAAAUUCAGUUUUUGUAUCUUGGGGCAAGACUGAAAACUUGUUUUUUAUACCUUUUGGUUAUUCUAAGCCCUAUGCCAUCAAUGCCCAUAUUAAUUGGCAAUGACUUUGUAUAAAGAAUUUAAGUAGAAAAAAUUGCAAUUGUAUUUACUGUACAACAGACACAAUAUGUGUGCUUUUUAUCUAGCUAGUAGUUACAAAUAAAACUCUGAAAAUCUCAGUAUACCAAAAAAAAAAAAAUCUAAUGGGAACAUAGUAGUCCAAGUGACUUGGUCAGGUUGCCGAGACAAAAGGAGAAACUUGGGACCAUUCUUCAACUGAAUACCAUAGGAUCUUUCUACACUAUAUUCAGCAAGGUGAAAUAAUGCUUGUUUUUAGCCACAGAAUCCUAUUGAGUUCAAGUGAUGACCCAGGUCCUUAGUUCACAGUAAGUGGAUUGUUCAGUGCCACAGUCUUUUGUUACAGCUGUUCUUCUUAGGUGUUAAGGGAAGCAACCAUUGGAUUUUCUUUCUUUUGGGGCAUCUCAUAUCCUGUAUUUAUUCUUGUAAUGCUUCCUAGGGCUAGGGCUAGGGAAAAGGGUACCCCAAAGAGUGCCUGUUGAAUCUAGAACAUGGUUUUGCAAUCAAAAUGAUAAAACAUUCUGGGAUCUUUACCCAUUAACUUGGAAAAAACACAGAACUAUCAAAUUAGUCAGAAAAAGCCAAGUCUUUAAUCAGGAGAGGGAUAGGUUCAAUAACUGGCCGCAACACAGAGCCCAGUGGAAAAGACUACACAGGGCCUGGGGACUCUGGGAAUGUAUCCCUGGAAGGAUCACAGUGUUAGAUCAUCGUCUGAAGCACAAUAGAAUUUGGGGAACAUAUAUACCUUCUGUUGAACUGAGGACAGGGAAGUAUGAUUGAUUGGCUUUACAAUGGCUACAAGGGAAUGAGAAGUUCAAGACAGGAUUAUCUGGGUAAAUUGUAAAGCUGGUGCUUUACAAUGGCUAAAAUUAUUAGCUUAUGUCCCUUGAGCUAAUAAUUUUUUUUACAUAAUGUAAAAAAUAGACUCGAAUACAGGACUACAAUCCCCAUGAGCCUUUGCUCCACUUCCCUGUGCCAAUGGUGGCUCUAGCUUAACCCAGGACCGCCCAGAGGUCUGUGGCUUUGCACAUGUCUGUUGAAGGUCAUAUUCUCAAAUAAUUAAAUCUUGAUCCUUUGCUGCAGCCCUUCCUAAAUCCUGUUGGGACUGAGUGGGGUGGAAAUUGUAUUUUCCAAGACCUGGUUCUGUCAUUCCAAGUAUCUCUAUUGUAUCAAUUCUAAAAUCAAUCAUGACUCAAAGAACUUCCUGUUCUAUGCUUAAGCAUAGGUCAAAGCCCUUUCCAUUGUUCAGCAAAAGGUUUCUGUCCUAAAGUAAUCUUAAGAAGGGAGGAGGAGGAACCUCCCAUGCCAGUGGGGUUCACAUUCCAAUAGAGUUCCCACUAUCAAUAGGAAAUUUUUCAAGUAUGAAAUUUCCCAAUGGUGAAAUUUCCAACAUUUAUAAGUCUAAGAAAUUUUAAGGUUUACAAUCCCCCCUGAUGAUCAUUAGGAGACUAGUCUCCCCAUUGAUCAUUUAACAUGAUCAUUUUGUAGUUCUAAAUUCACUUCUAACUAAAAAUAUACACAAUAUUCAAUUUUCUAAGAGAAAUUAGAAUAGUGAGAGAGGAAAUAGAAAAGAAAAGAAAGCAAAACCAAUGUUUGCUAGGCGCAAUUAUUCUGCCCAACUAGACGCAGUAGCAGCAGGAGCACCACCAUGCCUUAGAGGAGUAGCUGCUACAGCCUUACUAGUAACAAAAACCAUUGAUUUAGUAUUGGGAUGUCCAUUAACAAUAAUGUGCCCACAUGAGAUAGAAGCAUUAUUGAUAAAACAUAGAACACAGGCAUUCUCGGAUCAGAGAAUUACAAGGUAUGAAAUAACCUUAUUAAAUAGUGAAAAUAUUACCUUGAAACGAUGUUCAACUCUUAACCCUGCCACCUUGCUUCCAGAUUUACCUACUUCAGGAGAACCAUUACAUAACUGUGAAACAUUAGUGUCCAUGGCAGAAAAGCCUCGAGAUAAUCUCUUGGACACUCCCUUAGACAAUGCAGAUCUGAUUUUAUUUACCGAUGGUUCCUCUUUUAUGAGGGAUGGCAUACGUUACACUGGAGCUGAGACUGGAGUCUCAGAAUUUGCCACUGAAUGGUCAGCUUCACUACCUUCUAACAUUAGCGCUCAAGGAGCAGAACUCAUAGCUCUAAAACAAGCUUGUAUAAUUGCCAAGGAUAAAAAGGCAACCACUAGAUUGGAUGAGAACUUCUCAAAAUUUUUUUAGCCUAGAGAAUUUUUUUUUAAAGCCAAGGUUCUCCGAGAUGCUCUUUAGAAAACCAUCUUGAUCAGCUCCUGCCUGCGGCCCUCUCCAGCUCCUGCUUCUGCUCCUGGCCUCUCACCUGGUGCCUGAGCUGUGCUCCAGCUCCCAGCCCGACCCACCCUGGUGGUCUGUCUCUCACCCAUCUGGCCUCCGACCCAGCCGGCUCAUCACCCAGAUCCUUGGAGCAGAUUGCUGAGGACUCAUUUCGACCAGCUGGUAACAGUAUUGGCCACGUGGGUGGAGGGGAGAGAAGAGAGGGAAAAGAGACCGGGCAAUUUUCCCUUAGGCUAAGCCUCCACGUGGCUGGGGGUAUUGGCCACAGGGGGAUCAGAGAGGGGAAAGACAGAAAAGACUAGAGAGAAGAAACAGACUUUUCAAACAGAAACCUAAAAAGCAAUGGGCUGUUUAAAAGGAUUUUUGACUCUUCUGGCAAUUUCAUUGAUUUUACCUGCCUGUCAGGGAGCAGACUCAGCCCAAAGAUUCAACUUUAACUUUGGGGAGGAAAAUGGGUGGCCCAGCGAACUGGAAGCCAGGCCCAGAGACAGGAGGUCUCUAGUUAAAAUCUGGCCUCCCAUGCUUCCCAGCUAUGGGGCCCUGGACGGAUCCCUUGAACCCCAUAGCCUAGCCUUUACUACUCUACCUUCGGACAAUAGACAUUUAAAUGGAUAAUUAAAAACAAACAAACAAACAAACAAAAAAACCCAAGGAACUUUGAAGAGACUAAAGGCUAUAUUCUAAGGCACUUCAGAUUCCAAUGGUUUAUAAAAAAAUCUCUGUAUUCUAUAGCAUUGUUUUGUUUAAGAUAUAACUUUGUGAUUUUAAGUUCAUAUAUUACUGGAUUCAAUAUUAUUCUGCUUGAACUGAAGGUUGAUUGAAUUUAUUUUGAAUGUACUGAGUUUUAAAAUUCUGUUGUUUUCCCCCUAUAAUUGUGUUGAACAAAUAUUAUUGUGAAUAAGCCCAUAUAUGAAAAAAACAGCCUUUUUUCUAUUUUGCUGAGGAUAGAUGGACUUCAGAACUGAUUAUAAUUGUAUUAACAACCUUUGGAAUUUUAAUGUGCUAAAUACCUCAAAUGAUUUGAUUUUAAGGGUUUUUUAAAUGUGAUUUUUGGAAUUUUUUUUAACAAUCUGGUUAUUUUUGCCUGCCCCUAUCACGAUGUAAGGCCCAUUCCAGUAGCUGAAGUGAAAUACAUUUUAUAACCCCCAACCUUCCCGCAUUUCUAAAUAUGUGAAUGGAAGUUGGGCAGUUAAUCUCAGGGCAUUUGUAUCCCUAUAUAUAAGCCUCCAAGAAAAAGGAGCACCCCUUUAUUUAUGCUCUUCAGCUCACCAUUUUACUUCUACCAGAAUGAUAUAUAGAUUUAUUGAUUAUCUUCUAAACCCAAGAUGAGUUUUACUUUGUUUUAAAAAAUAUGUUUAUUACCAAGGUUGAAGGAUUGCUAUGUUUGUAAAAAUUGUGACAAAUGUCCAUCAAUUCAUAGGUUUUAAAAAAUGUCAUACAGCAACUUAUAUGAAAUAUGAAAGUGUGUUUGUUUGCUAUUGUAAUUAAUUGGGCUAUUGAGAAUUUUGGGGAUUUUGAUAUCUACAUAUUUGUACUACUGUUUUUAAAAAUGAAAAAUUGUUAACCUUGUUCAAUUCAUUUGCCUUCUACUCACAGUGAUCAUGGCCAGAUACAAAGAGGAAAUGGAUCUCAUUUUUUGGUGAGAAAGCCUUGUAUUUUAUAUUUUCUUAACUGUCAAUGGUUAUAAGCUAUAUUUUUGAAUUUUUAAAAGCUCUUUUAUUAAUAUAUAUUUCUUGCAUGUGCAAUAUACUUUUUCAGUUUUUUUAUUAUUUUUUCUCUCCUUUUUAUAUUUGAAGCACAUGUCACCAGUAUUAAGAUUUUCUUUAACCUUUUGAUUUUUAAGUUUAAGAUACAUUUGCUAAUACAUGCCCUAAAAGGCUUGUGACUAUAAAAAUGAUGCCACUAAUUAUUUAAAUAAAUUAUGGGACUUUGCUUAAUGAUUCUGUUUUAUUCCAGGACAAGAGAUACACACAAGAGCCAUUUCAUAGGGCCAAAGAAAGGCCAAUCUAGGAUGGAUUGAUGCACUUCUAGGCCAAUACAAAGGUCUUGAACCUAGUGUGAAGACUCGAGGUUACUAUGUUUAACAUGUGUUAAGACAUAGGCUUUCCUUGUAUCCACACUCACCCUGAAGAUACUCAUAGACGAGUAUCCCCAAAACCUUGGCUCCUACUUGGCUUCUAUAAUCUGGUCCCUUUUCUGCCUCUCAUAGUGUGGUACCUUUCUGUAGUCCUGGCAAUGACUGGGUAAAUGCAUCAUUACUUAGAUCAUUUUGAUUGGGCCCUGAUUGAAGUACCUGUUAUAGAUUUAUUUUUCUUCUACUUGAAAUUUUUACACAUAAGACUUUGAUAGUCUAUAUUUUCAUCCAGAAAUUUUUCUUUCCUUUUGAUUUUUCUGAUGUCUUUUUAAUAUCUCUUGCCAAUUGAUUCAUAUACCUCAUACCUCAGCCAUGCAUCCCUAAGUGAUCCCUUUUUUUUUAUAUCACCCUCUUAACGAGGGAAUGUAAAAAAAUAUCAUUAUUUAAAUUGCAAAGUUUAAAUUCCUUUUGAGAAGAAUUUUAGGUAAAGAAGAUGCUACUUCCCUGAAUUCAGAAACUGAACUGUUGGAGAAGCCAUCAUGAAGAAGCCUCCAGACCACGAACUGCACAAAAAUGAAUUUUGGGUGUGGUUAACGAACAUUUAUUUGCAUGCAUACUUUCAUGCCAAAGGGGACUGCCCCCUAACUGGCUUUCUGUCAAUGCGUCCAGUAAUUAUUGGUUUUAUUCUUUUCUUUCUCUUAUCCUCAAAUUAUUGUAAUCUUUAAAUUGAUUAUGUUUUCAUGAUCCUUUGGAAAAAAAAUUAAUUUUUUUGCAAACAAUCAAAGGGGGGGAAUGUAAAAAAUAGACUCAAUACAGGACUACAAUCCCCAUGAGCCUUUGCUCCACUUCCCCAGAAUGCCUUGUAAUCUCACCUGGGCCGAGAUCGAGAAGGUAUUUAAGCUGAUUCAAAGGCUUUUGAGGGUCUCUUGGCUCUUUUUGGACUUCCAUUUUGGAGCAGGCUCAUCUCUUGCGUGAUGUGAGGUUAUUUUGUCUAGGCCUCUGGCCUAGGCACAUGUUUCUUACUUGUAUAUUCUUUAAUCUUUAGCCUUUAAUAAACCUCAAAAAAAUAUAAUACUCCUUGCAGAGAGAAACUAAUUUCUACCUGCCUUCACCUGCCUCAGUCUCCCCAUCUCCCCUAAAUUUUAAUCUUUACAAUUUUAAAAGUUUUAUAUUUAAAGUUUUUGUGUUAAGUUUUAUAUUUAAAAAUGUAAAAACCAUUCUGGUUCACCAACAGUCUUUGCUUAAGGGUAUUACCAGUAUAGGUUUCAGAAAUGACAACUUUGUGCCCUUUGAGUUUCUUCAUGUAAAAUGAGUGGGUUAGAUUAGCUCUAAAAUUUUAUGAUUCUAAGUUAGACCAAGGUAUUUUGGCCAGUGGGAAUUUUAGUGUAAAAAUUUUUACCAGAAGAAUCCUCAUUUUAGAUUAAGGAUGACAGAAAGCAAAAGGCUUGUUGUAGACACUUCUAAUUGCUGCAAGUUUAAGAUUGAUUGUUCUCUCAGAAAUCGCUUUUUCAGCAAGGGAAACUUAGAAGUCAAAUCUUGACUGAGAUAAUUUAGUUUGUCCCAUUUUACAGAUGAAGAACCUUAAGUUCAGAGAGGAUGAUAAGCACAGACUGAGGUUAGAGUUAGAUCUAGGGCUAGACACAAAUCAUAUUACUCCAUGCUAUUACUCUUUUAACCCCUCCCCCCAAAUGUUCUUAAAUAACUGAAGGCUACUUAACAUUUUGGUUAGAGUUUAGUGACAAUAAACAUAGAGCUCUUUCCCCUUGGCCAAAUUCAAAGAUCAUUUAGGAGUCUAUGGACACUAGGUCAAGGACUCUUGCCCUAAGGCUAGUGACACAUAAGUUGCUUCCUUUUCCCAUCUUAGGUUUGACAUAAAGCCACUUAAUAUUUAGGUUUUCAAAUCAUUGUUAAGAAACCAAAACUACUUAAAAGCAGUAUUUCUAUAGAAUGGUGAUAGCUUGAAAACACAGAACUUUGAUACAUCCAA
Non-coding RNA from Monodelphis domestica (gray short-tailed opossum), 7329 nucleotides. The record is from RefSeq and is a predicted model, not a curated record. NCBI's taxonomy places the organism in Eukaryota, Metazoa, Chordata, Mammalia, Didelphimorphia, Didelphidae.